ACGCUCGACACCUACGGGAGGCAGCAGUGAGGAAUAUUGGUCAAUGGGCGCAGGCCUGAACCAGCCAAGUAGCGUGAAGGAUGACUGCCCUAUGGGUUGUAAACUUCUUUUAUAUGGGAAUAAAGUUUCCACGUGUGGAAUUUUGUAUGUACCAUAUGAAUAAGGAUCGGCUAACUCCGUGCCACAGCCGCGGUAAUCUGAGCGGGCUGGCAAGGC
Molecule: ribosomal RNA, 216 nt
Filed under: uncultured bacterium
Lineage: Bacteria
Description: partial 16S ribosomal RNA
Rfam family: Bacterial small subunit ribosomal RNA
Source: RNAcentral